This 492-nucleotide ribosomal RNA is filed under the name uncultured bacterium. RNAcentral describes it as "partial 16S ribosomal RNA". It matches the Rfam family "Bacterial small subunit ribosomal RNA", at positions 29 to 507 of the family's 1533-position model. The record is from RNAcentral.
AGUGAACGCUGGCGGUAGGCCUAACACAUGCAAGUCGAACGGCAGCACAGUAAGAGCUUGCUCUUACGGGUGGCGAGUGGCGGACGGGUGAGGAAUACACCGGAAUCUACUUUUUCGUGGGGGAUAACGUAGGGAAACUUACGCUAAUACCGCAUACGACCUACGGGUGAAAGCAGGGGAUCUUCUGACCUUGCGCGAUUGAAUGAGCCGAUGUCGGAUUAGCUAGUUGGCGGGGUAAAGGCCCACCAAGGCGACGAUCCGUAGCUGGUCUGAGAGGAUGGUCAGCCACACUGGAACUGAGACACGGUCCCGACUCCUACGGGAGGAAGCAGUGGGGAAUAUUGGACAAGGGGGGCAAGCCUGAUCCAGCCAUACCGCGUGAGUGAAGAAGGCCUUCGGGUUGGAAAGCCCUUUUGUUGGGAAAGAAAAGAAGCAGGUUAAUACCCCGCUGUUCUGACGGUACCCAAAGAAUAAGCACCGGCUAACUUCGUG